UUAACGAUUAAUAAAGAGUGUUCUAUUUUGCUCACCAAUUUGUACUAUACUAUGUAUUUUGUUCCAUUCUAUUUAGGUUUAGAGUCUAUACUUGGGUUUAGGGUUUAGUGAUUAGGAUUUAAGGUUUAGUAUUUGGAAGGUAGGAGUUUAGGUUUGGGUUUAGUGAUAGCAUUUUUGGAUUUAGUAUUCAAAAGUUAGAUCUGAGUUUAGGAGCUGUGUGUUGGAUUAGAGUCAUAUACUAUUCAAAAACUAGGUUUGGAUUUAGUUUAAUAUUACAUAAUAUUAUAUACUAUUUUCAGAUUUUGAUAAUUAGGUUUAAGGUAUAUAUUUGGGUUUAUGGUUCAGUAAUUAGAGUUUAGGGUUUAGUAUUUAGAUGGAAUGGUGAUGUUUAAAGUUUAAGGUUUAGUAUUUAUGAGUUGAAGUUUGGAGUAAAAUUUAGUAUGUACUAGAUGUGAGUGAAUUUUGAAUCCUAUUAUAUUUUAGUGAUAAGGUAGAAAAAUCAGAUGCAUAUUUAUAUGUGUUAAACAAAAGUAUGGUAUUGGUUGUAUUACGUGUGAUAAUUAAUUGUGGAGUGUCAAAUUGUUGAUGUUAUUAAUUUUCUCUCUCUAUUACUGGCAACUUGAACAAAAAAAAAUAAUAGUACCGAAUAAAACUUGACAUAAU
Molecule: long non-coding RNA, 663 nt
Filed under: Brassica napus (rape)
Lineage: Eukaryota; Viridiplantae; Streptophyta; Magnoliopsida; Brassicales; Brassicaceae
Description: long non-coding RNA (BNAP_LNC019571)
Source: RNAcentral